GGGCCAGUAGCUCAGCUGGUUAGAGCGUCUGCCUCUUAAGCAGAAUGUCGAGGGUUCGAGUCCCUCCUGGCCCUCCA
This 77-nucleotide transfer RNA is filed under the name Candidatus Saccharibacteria bacterium CG10_big_fil_rev_8_21_14_0_10_47_8. Its description in RNAcentral is "tRNA-Lys". It matches the Rfam family "tRNA". From Rfam's summary of the family: Transfer RNA (tRNA) molecules are approximately 80 nucleotides in length. Their secondary structure includes four short double-helical elements and three loops (D, anti-codon, and T loops). Lineage: Bacteria; Candidatus Saccharimonadota. The record is from RNAcentral. RNAcentral also lists the same sequence under 5 other names.